UAACAUUUUCUACCAUUCAGAAAAGUUUUUAUAUGAGAACCUAAAUCAUAAAUAAAAAAUUUCAAAUGAAAUUGUUAUCUUUAUUCGCGAUUCUUCUUCUUCUCAAUCUCUUUGUUAGUACUAAUAGUUUCCGACUGGAUUAUGUGGCAAGUGGGUCAAGCAUACCGGACUGCUCGCACGCGUGUGGACCAUGUACACCAUGCAAGCUCGUUAUGGUCAGCUCCAAGUGCUCCGCCUCAGAGUCCGAGGCUUGUCCUGUCGUCUACAAGUGCUUGUGCAAAGGCAAAUACUAUCACGUGCCUUCUAUAGCCUAACCCCCUCCUCACGUUAUAUCAUCCGCUUAAGAGAUCCUAAGGUGAAAACAUCGGAGCAUAAAGCCUACCAGGAUGAAGUUCUUCGUAGUUGCACAAAAAGCACCUGAGUAUAAACCUAGUGUAAUCACCUAAGUUUUUGUUUGUAAAAUGUCUUUGCAAUUGCAGUCUUUGCUAGCGAAAGGAUAUGACUUAGUGUCUGGAGUCACCGAGAAAUCUUACAUCACAUAAAUAUAUUUAAGAAAAGGUUAUCUUAUUACCACAGAAGAUUACCUCCUCUUUCUUCAACUUCGAUCUGUUCGGCAAACCAAAGCCUUCUCGGCGAAGGUUAUCUUCGAACCUGGAAAUCUGGAAUAUAUCAAAAUCCCUUGUCAUCUCUCCAUGUAUACCAUCCUCUUCAUAACAAAACUCAGAAAGGCAAAUAGUUAACAUUUACCAAAGGAUCUCUGCAAGGUUGUACCUAAUUAACAAAAAAAAAGCAUUAGUCUUCUGGUUAUGACUUCAGAACUAUAGCAUUAAGUUUAGAGAAACAAAUCUCCAUAUGAAAAAUCAACUUACUUGGGUCGGAAAGGGUACUAGCUAUCUCAGCCAUGUUGGCAUAAACUGCAUCAUUAUUCUUAUCUUGCACAGUCUACAGUAUAAAAGAUUUAAUCACCAAUCCCACAUUCAGAAAACUACUUGUAUAUUUUUCAUCAUAAGUAUACAUUAGUUUUCAAAUGACUAGUAAAAAAAUACUUCUCAUCAUUACUAUAAGCAAACUCAACAAAGCAACAUCAUAAGCAUACUGAGAAGAGAUUACCAUAGUGUAUGCAA
Raphanus sativus (radish) is the source of this 1124-nucleotide RNA transcript. RefSeq lists it as uncharacterized. The record is from RefSeq and is a predicted model, not a curated record. The transcript is spliced from 4 exons. NCBI's taxonomy places the organism in Eukaryota, Viridiplantae, Streptophyta, Magnoliopsida, Brassicales, Brassicaceae.